GACGAACGCUGGCGGCAUGCUUAAUACAUGCAAGUCGAGCGCCUCGCAAGAGGAUGGUCGGACGGGUUAGUAACGCGUGGGGACGGACUCUUAUCUUCGUAAGAACUCUGCGAAACUGGAAGUAAUACCAAAUGUGCCCGUCUGGUAAAAGAGUUCACGGAUAAGGAUCGGCCCACGUUGGGUGAGAUAGUGGGGGGGGAAAACGCCUACCAAGGCGACCGUCGAUACCUGGUCUGAGAGGAUGAUCACCAACACUGGGAGUGAGCCACGGUCCAAAAUCCUCCGGGAGGCAGGCGUGGGGGAUAUUGGAACAUGGGGGGAAGCAUGAUGCAGUUCUGACGGGUGAGUGAUGAAGGUAUUAGGGUUGUAAAGAUAUUUCAACGGAGAAGAUAAUGACGGUAUCCAGCGAAGAAGCCACGGCUAACUUCGUG
This 431-nucleotide ribosomal RNA is filed under the name uncultured bacterium. RNAcentral's name for it is "partial 16S ribosomal RNA". It matches the Rfam family "Bacterial small subunit ribosomal RNA", at positions 28 to 507 of the family's 1533-position model. The record is from RNAcentral.